CGCGGGGUAGAGCAGUUGGUAGCUCGUCGGGCUCAUAACCCGGAGGCCACAGGUUCAAGUCCUGUCCCCGCAA
This is a transfer RNA of 73 nucleotides. It matches the Rfam family "tRNA". From Rfam's summary of the family: Transfer RNA (tRNA) molecules are approximately 80 nucleotides in length. The record is from Rfam.